Myotis davidii is the source of this 75-nucleotide non-coding RNA. Lineage: Eukaryota; Metazoa; Chordata; Mammalia; Chiroptera; Vespertilionidae. The record is from Rfam.
GGCAGUUCUCAGGUGAUGCACCCUGGAAUCUAGCUCCCUCCUCUCUGGUUCCCAAUGCAUCACCUGAGAACCGCA